GACGAACGCUGGCGGCGUGCUUAACACAUGCAAGUCGAACGGAAAGGCCUGCUUUCCCUUGUGGAUUGCGGGUACUCGAGUGGCGAACGGGUGAGUAACACGUGAGUGAUCUGCCCCCAACUUGGGUAUAAGCCUGGGAAACUGGGUCUAAUUCCCGAUAGGACUGCAGGGUGGUGCCUGUGGUGGAAAACGAUUUUCUAGUGGUUGGGGAUGAGCUCGCGGCCUAUCAGCUUGUUGGUGGGGUAAUGGCCUACCAAGGCGGCGACGGGUAGCCGGCCUGAGAGGGUGGACGGCCACAGUGGGACUGAGAUACGGCCCAGACUCCUACGGGAGGCAGCAGUGGGGAAUAGUGCACAAUGGGCGGAAGCCUGAUGCAGCGACGCCGCGUGGGGGAUGACGGCCUUCGGGUUAUAAACUCCUUUCGACCGCGAGGAAGCCACCUGGUUGGAAGGGUGGUGACGGUAGUGGUAGAAGAAGCACCGGCUAACUACGUG
Molecule: ribosomal RNA, 494 nt
Filed under: uncultured bacterium
Lineage: Bacteria
Description: partial 16S ribosomal RNA
Rfam family: Bacterial small subunit ribosomal RNA
Source: RNAcentral